Molecule: ribosomal RNA, 483 nt
Filed under: uncultured bacterium
Lineage: Bacteria
Description: bacterial SSU rRNA
Rfam family: Bacterial small subunit ribosomal RNA
Source: RNAcentral
AUUGAACGCUGGCGGAAUGCUUUACACAUGCAAGUCGAACGGCAGCACGGGGCGAACCUGGUGGCGAGUGGCGAACGGGUGAGUAAUAUAUCGGAACGUGCCCAAUCGUGGGGGAUAACGUAGCGAAAGUUACGCUAAUACCGCAUACGAUCUACGGAUGAAAGCGGGGGAUCGCAAGACCUCGCGCGAAUGGAGCGGCCGAUAUCAGAUUAGGUAGUUGGUGGGGUAAAGGCUCACCAAGCCAACGAUCUGUAGCUGGUCUGAGAGGACGACCAGCCACACUGGAACUGAGACACGGUCCAGACUCCUACGGGAGGCAGCAGUGGGGAAUUUUGGACAAUGGGCGCAAGCCUGAUCCAGCCAUUCCGCGUGCAGGAUGAAGGCCUUCGGGUUGUAAACUGCUUUUGUACGGAACGAAACGGUCUGCCCUAAUACGGCGGGCUAAUGACGGUACCGUAAGAAUAAGCACCGGCUAACUACGUG